AGCAGCCGCGGUAAUUCCAGCUCCAAUAGCGUAUAUUAAAGUUGUUGCAGUUAAAAAGCUCGUAGUUGAAUUUCGGGAUUAGUACGUUGGUCGUGCCUUCGGCACGUACUGGUGUUACUGAUUCCUACCUUCUGACGAACCAUCAUGUCAUUAAUUUGGUGUGGCGGGGAAUCAGGACUGUUACUUUGAAAAAAUUAGAGUGCUUAAAGCAGGCUCGCGCUUGAAUACAUUAGCAUGGAAUAAUGAAAUAGGACGUUGACCCUAUUUUGUUGGUUUCUAGGAUUGACGUAAUGAUUAAUAGGGAUAGUUGGGGGCAUUAGUAUUCAAUUGUCAGAGGUGAAAUUCUUGGAUUUAUUGAAGACUAACUACUGCGAAAGCAUUUGCCAAGGAUGUUUUCAUUAAUCAAGAACGAAAGUUAGGGAUCGAAGACGAUCAGACACCGUCGUAGUCUUAACCAUAAACUAAUCGACCGACUAGGGGAUCGGAUGAUGUUAUUUUUANGUACUUNAUUCGGCUCCUU
This 520-nucleotide ribosomal RNA is filed under the name uncultured Glomus. RNAcentral's name for it is "SSU rRNA". It matches the Rfam family "Eukaryotic small subunit ribosomal RNA", at positions 569 to 1089 of the family's 1831-position model. The record is from RNAcentral. Lineage: Eukaryota; Fungi; Glomeromycota; Glomeromycetes; Glomerales; Glomeraceae.